UUAAUUUGACUCAGCACGGGGAAACUUACUAGGUCCAGACAUAGUUAGGAUUGACAGACUAAGAGCUCUUUGUCCAGACAUAGUUAGGAUUGACAGACUAAGAG
This 104-nucleotide ribosomal RNA is filed under the name Olea europaea subsp. europaea. RNAcentral describes it as "SSU_rRNA_eukarya". Lineage: Eukaryota; Viridiplantae; Streptophyta; Magnoliopsida; Lamiales; Oleaceae. The record is from RNAcentral.